UCCCCGGAGGCAGCAGCAGCAGCUUCCUUGGGAUAUACUUUCUCCCAGCUGUCAGUGACAGAAAGAUCUGUUCCUUGAAGAUCAUUAAGCAAGUCAAUGCAGUCUACUUUGCAAUCACAGCCAGGACAAAGCCAGCCUUCAUCAUCAGGUGGAAUGUCUUCUUUUAACAGAGGUGGCUCCACACACAACUGGUGAAAUCCACG
RNAcentral lists this unclassified non-coding RNA (203 nucleotides) under Hevea brasiliensis (rubber tree). The record is from RNAcentral. Lineage: Eukaryota; Viridiplantae; Streptophyta; Magnoliopsida; Malpighiales; Euphorbiaceae.